UGGGAUUACACUCAAAAAAAAUUUCUGACUAAUCAUAUGGCUGAUCAACGAUUAAGAAUCAAUCAAGGAUGUAAUCAUCAAUUUGAUUAAUGAUUAACCUUAAGCAAAAAUUAUGAUGAAAUAAUUUGCUAAACAUUAAUGAAUUAAUGGAGGAUAAAUUAGUAAUUAAAUUGCUGAUUAGUUCAAUUUUAUUGAGUGAUG
This 201-nucleotide long non-coding RNA is filed under the name Elaeis guineensis (African oil palm). Its description in RNAcentral is "long non-coding RNA (EGUI_LNC021524)". Lineage: Eukaryota; Viridiplantae; Streptophyta; Magnoliopsida; Arecales; Arecaceae. The record is from RNAcentral.